AGUGGGAUGGCUGGGUCAUAUGGUAGGUGGAUUGUUUAACUUUCUAAGAAACUUCCAAGCUGUUACCCAAAGAGCUGCACAAUUUUGCUUGUCCACCAGUGAU
RNAcentral lists this microRNA precursor (103 nucleotides) under Marmota monax (woodchuck). The record is from RNAcentral. Lineage: Eukaryota; Metazoa; Chordata; Mammalia; Rodentia; Sciuridae.